CCUACGGGGUGCAGCAGUGGGGAAUAUUGCGCAAUGGGCGAAAGCCUGACGCAGCGACGCCGCGUGAGGGAUGAAGGUCUUCGGAUCGUAAACCUCUGUCAGCAGGGAAGAACGGUCACUGUGCUAAUCAGCAGUGACUUGACGGUACCUGCAAAGGAAGCACCGGCUAACUCCGUGCCAGCAGCCGCGGUAAUACGGAGGGUGCGAGCGUUAAUCGGAAUUACUGGGCGUAAAGCGCUCGUAGGCGGUAUGUCAAGUCAAGGGUGAAAUCCCCGCGCUCAACGUGGGAACUGCCUUUGAAACUGGCAAACUGGAGUGUGUGAGAGGAUAGUGGAAUUCCAGGUGUAGGAGUGAAAUCCGUAGAUAUCUGGAGGAACAUCAGUGGCGAAGGCGACUAUCUGGCACAUAACUGACGCUGAGGAGCGAAAGCGUGGGUAGCAAACAGGAUUAGAUACCCUGGUAGUC
Molecule: ribosomal RNA, 465 nt
Filed under: uncultured bacterium
Lineage: Bacteria
Description: partial 16S ribosomal RNA
Rfam family: Bacterial small subunit ribosomal RNA
Source: RNAcentral